ACAGGCGCCAGUAGCUAGCGGGCAGUCCUUGGGGGCCGGGGACUGGAAGGCUUCUGGUGAGGUUCUUGGUGACGGUGGCCCUUGGGACAGAAGGAAUCUGCAGGUGAGGAAGGCGGGGGCCAAGGUCACCGUAUGCCUUGCCUGGUGAACUCAGGAGCUUCCUCCCCCUCGGCCUCUCCGCUCCGGUGCUGGCCCUGUGGGGGCCUCGAGCCUCCCCUCCCUGCGGCACAUCCCUGGUGCUCAGUGAGCACUGGAGGACUCGGGCAGACUGCCAGGGGCCUAGGUCUUCCUCGAAGGCUGGGCAGUGCAGGAAGAGAGCAGGGGCAGGUCCCCAAGGCUGGACUGACAGCAGGAGGGUCACAUCCCCCUCCUCCCUGCGCCCCCCCAGCUGGCUCCGGCUUCCCGCGCAGCACCCCUGCCCCAUGGCCCCCCUGCUGUCUCCGCCUGGGUCUGAUGCCCACGCCCGCUGCCCCUCGCCCUGCCGCGCUCUGACACCUGGCCCAGCCCACCUCCCUACCUGGGUCCCCUUCUCUCCCUCCCAUGCCACCUGCCUGGGGUCCUCCGUCCCCCGUGCCCACCCCCCAGGGCAUUUCCUUUGCAGCACCUACUAGUUUUAGGACUAGAUGGUUCAGGGAGAAAUGAGAGGAGAAACCCAGCAACGGUUUUGCACAAAAAUAUUUUGUGGGGAUUUUUGUGCUAGCAAAGUUUUGGAGAGAAAAUAUAAGCUAGAGUGACCUGGUGGAAGGAAUGUGCAAGAGAGAGAGAGAGAGAGAGGCAAAGGACGGGGGCAGGCGGGUUUGUGCCUGGAGUCCCACCCGCUUGAAUUGACAUCUGUCCAUAAGUCCUAGGGGUUCCUUGGUGUACACAUUGGGAACUGCUGGAAAAGAAUUCGGCCUGGAAGGGUUGAGUGGCAUGUCACAGCACCAGCGUGUCUUCUCUGAGCUCCCGAGAAGCCUCCAGGCAGCUCCUGCAGCCAACCAGCCGGGGCGGGUGGAGCUUCAGGGUGGCCUGCCUGGAGGACAGAGCCUGGGCCCUGAGCAGACGCGGGGGUGUCUUUCCAGGCCUGUGGGAAGUGGGUCGGGUCUGCAGGACACAGGCUGUGCGGUAAGGACUUCCACAAGCAAGUGACGCUUCCUCCCCUGAGCCCCCAGCCCAUGCCAUUGGUGACCCUCAGUGCCUCAGCUCUGUCCCCUCCACGGUGACCUCCAGGAACAGGACCUGAGGAUCUGUGGCUGGUACAGACAGGCGCCUCUGGCCUCUUGGUGCUGCUCUUCGGACUGUGCACAGCACUCUGUAGUUUACCAAGCACGUUCACACCGUCUUGCUGUGAGUUCAUCUUUGCAGCCACCGCCUGUGGCUGAUGGACUUCUGAUCCCAUUUUAUUGACGGAGAGACUGAGGUCCAGAAGAAAUUUGCUCAAGAACAUACAGCUGCCUGGUGUUGGAGCUGGACUUUGAAUCGCAGGAGAUUGAUUUCCCUUGAAAGGAUUAUCAUAAAAUUGUGACCAAAAUUUGCCCACCAUGACACAACUGGCCAGUGGCUGAGCCAGGCCCAACCCCCAGGUGGCCCGGCUUCCCAGCCAGCAAGUGUCAUCAUGGUGGGUGGCCUUGGGGAAGGAGGCCACCUGCCCUGCGUCCCCAGGGGCCAGUGUUCAGCAGGGAGAGAGUCCAUGGUGCAGCUGUCUGGGGACCCCCGCAGAGUGUCCCUGGACUCAGGGAGGGCAGAGACGGAGCCGAGGUCCCCACCGCCCUCUGCGGCAGCUCAUUUCCAUUCAUUUUCUUUAAAUGCUUCUCGCUCUGUUUUUAAAUCUAAUUUUUCAGCCUCUUUUUUAUCUUCACUCAAGUUGCUUUAAUGAAAGGAAAAUGUGUCUGUUUCCCUCUGCUGGAGCUGCCCGGGGAAUCUCAAUACAAAACAAACAAGUUGGC
Long non-coding RNA from Sciurus carolinensis (gray squirrel), 1925 nucleotides. RefSeq lists it as uncharacterized. NCBI's taxonomy places the organism in Eukaryota, Metazoa, Chordata, Mammalia, Rodentia, Sciuridae. The transcript has 3 exons. The record is from RefSeq and is a predicted model, not a curated record.